CCUGCGGAAGGAUCAUUACCGAGUGUAGGGUUCCUAGCGAGCCCAACCUCCCACCCGUGUUUACUGUACCUUAGUUGCUUCGGCGGGCCCGCCAUUCAUGGCCGCCGGGGGCUCUCAGCCCCGGGCCCGCGCCCGCCGGAGACACCACGAACUCUGUCUGAUCUAGUGAAGUCUGAGUUGAUUGUAUCGCAAUCAGUUAAAACUUUCAACAAUGGAUCUCUUGGUUCCGGCAUCGAUGAAGAACGCAGCGAAAUGCGAUAACUAGUGUGAAUUGCAGAAUUCCGUGAAUCAUCGAGUCUUUGAACGCACAUUGCGCCCCCUGGUAUUCCGGGGGGCAUGCCUGUCCGAGCGUCAUUGCUGCCCAUCAAGCACGGCUUGUGUGUUGGGUCGUCGUCCCCUCUCCGGGGGGGACGGGCCCCAAAGGCAGCGGCGGCACCGCGUCCGAUCCUCGAGCGUAUGGGGCUUUGUCACCCGCUCUGUAGGCCCGGCCGGCGCUUGCCGAACGCAAAUCAAUCUUUUUCCAGGUUGACCUCGGAUCAGGUAGGGAUACCCGCUGAACUUAAGCAUA
Molecule: ribosomal RNA, 568 nt
Filed under: Aspergillus flavus
Lineage: Eukaryota; Fungi; Ascomycota; Eurotiomycetes; Eurotiales; Aspergillaceae
Description: eukaryotic LSU rRNA
Rfam family: 5.8S ribosomal RNA (bases 201-354)
Source: RNAcentral